Molecule: long non-coding RNA, 2909 nt
Filed under: Gossypium barbadense (sea-island cotton)
Lineage: Eukaryota; Viridiplantae; Streptophyta; Magnoliopsida; Malvales; Malvaceae
Description: long non-coding RNA (GBAR_LNC011167)
Source: RNAcentral
CAGAGAUAUUUUUUGAUUUCUAUUCUCUUCCCUCUUUUUCGUUUACCCAUUCGUUGUUUGAAGAACCCUAUCUUACCCUCACCAAAUUCUCACCUUGAAAACACUCAAAUGGUAGCCAUUUCUUGCUUCCUUCGACUUUGGCAUUCCUCCCCUUCAUCCAAGGUCAGGUAAAAUUUUUUCCUUCUACUGUUCUUUUCAUUUUCCUAUUUCCCAUUUUUUUCUUACCCACCAAUUUUUUCUACCCCUUUUUGUUACUGCUUCCUUCACCAUCAUCUUUGAUAUUUUUUUAAUAAACAUAAUCCCAAAUUUGAAAUCAUAUCGGAAACUCGAAACUGUGUUGGUAAGUAACAUUGAAGUUGUCCAACCUAUUAUCAAAAGAGAAAAGAUUUGUAUUUUCUUUCAUAACUGUAACUCCUAUUUGGUAUUGAAACGUGUAGACUUUUUUUAAAGGUAGACUCAAAUUUUUCGAAGGAAAUAUUAUCUAGCAUGAUCGUUGGUGAUUUAAUGUUACUUUUUUACUCUUUUAAUUUCUAUCGUAGGUUUAGAAUGGAUUUCAUGAAAUUUACCUAGAUAAAAGUAUUAUGGAUCUCAUAAAACGUGUAGACUUUGAGCUUUAUUGUCAUUGAUUGCCUGUUAAGAAAUUUGAAAAGAAAAUCGAACUGCAUUUGAAACCUUACAAAUCAUUUCUUUCCAAAUUUAAUUAAUUAAAUUAAUGUAAAUUGAAUUAUUAUGAAAUUGUCAAGUAAGCAAAAAAAUUCUUUCAAAGUUAGUCAACUAAUUAAAUUAUUAUAUUUGGACUAUAUAACAGAACAAGCCUAUUUCUACAAACUAUUACUGUGCUCCUCGAUAAAGCAUAUGUGCAUCUUGAAUUUUGUACCUUAUUUUGCUGGUAGAAGUAUAUGUGCUUUGGUUUCAUGCAGAAAUGCAAUGAGAUGCUUUAUUUAUUUUUACAGUUUCUAUUGACAGAGGAAAACCAUACUCAUUUGAAUCUUCAUUUGCUUUGUCAUACAGGCCAGAAAGACACCAUCACUGGAAUCUAUUGAUUCUUUUGGUGAAGAAGAGUAAAUUACUCAUUACAUUUAUAGCUUUUUGCUUUAUUAUUUGGAUUUCUUUUAACUAGUAUCUCUAUAUUUGAAAACUUACCUCAGGCUUUGUGCUUUUGCAAUUUUUUCUUAGCACAAGCAUGAAUCUUAGUCCAUCUUAAUCAUUUGAUAGUCAAUUAUUUGUAUGAUCUGACUCUGAGAUUGUAGCUAAUGUAGGCUGUUUUUUUAAUCAUUGCUGAUUUGUAUUGAUAACAUUUGGAUCAACAAAUUUCCCAUCCUCACUACUUUCCAUAUCUAAAUGAUUGACCUAUUUAAAAACUAAACAAUCUAAUAGCAAAUGGUGAUUCCAAUGAAACAAAUCAACCCCUAAAGUGGAAUAUAAAUCAUUUCCACAAACAAAAGGUAAACAAAAGAAUCAACCCCCAAAAAAUUCUAUUUUAUAAUAAGCAGUAUCAAUUAUGAACUAAAACAAGAUAAAUCGAUGCUUACCUACUUCAAGUAUAGGAACAAUGGUUGACAAUAAGUUGGUGUGACAGAUUUGCUUCUAUUCCAUACCAGAUAGAAUAUCUCACCUCCCUUUGUGAGUUAAAUUUCAAUUAUUGUAUUCAUUUGAUGUCAUUGCCUCAAGGUAUAAAGAGUCUCACAACAUUCUAUGCAUUAGGGGAUGCCCACAUUUGGAAAAGUGGUGCAACGAAGGGGGAGGAGAGGGUUGGCCUUACAUAGCACGUGUUCCCUAUAUUAAAUCACGGCUUAUGAUAAAGCAUGGUACUCUAAGCGACGAAGAUCCCAUGGCAGUCUCUUUACUUUAAUUCUAUCUUUUCCUUUAUAUGUGCCUUGAUUAUCAUCCUGAAAUGGUUGACCAAGUCUUUCUAUUAAUAAUGUUUCUUGUUAUGCUGUUCUAUGUUAUUUGGACUCAGGGACAAGUAUGGGGUGCAUUAAGUGGCCAAGAUGAGUAUUAGGUGCAAUAUAACCUAUGCGUUUUGACAAUUUGUGUAUAUAUCCCUUUUAAUAGUUGACCUACAUUUGCAAUCUAUGUUACUUGGACUUGAUAUGAGUCUCAGAACUAUGUAUGCAUCCAACAUGGGUAUGUUAAUUAUUUUUCCAUGAUUUUGAUUCAUUUGGAGACUUUGGAAUGAUUAUAGCGUGAUAAUCAUGUCCGAAUAUGCACUGGAUAUGGGUAUCAGACAUGGUUGGUUUAAGAAAAUUAGAAGAUUUAGAGCAAUAUAAUUUGCAAUGAAAAGCCCAGAACGUAUCAGUUUUGAACUGGAAAAAAGAAGAAGCAAAUCAAGGUUUUAAUUCAAUGCAUUGGGCUUGUUUUGCAGGUUUGGUGAUUGGACAUUUGACCUAGCAAGUAAGUUGUUGAAAUGUAAGCCGGAGUCAUGAAUAACAAGGUAAUGGGCGAGUGAAAAUGUUGUUAUCUGGGUUCAACAUAAUCUGCACCAUCUACGAUUUAUGUUAUUUAGAUUCAUUCAAUUGUAGGUGUUGAGUAGAGUAUGUAUGAUGUAUCUAGUGUAGGUCUAUUCAAUAUUUUUGAGAUUUUUAUAUACAAAAUUCUUAAAAGAUCUAUGUUUAAAUGUUAAUAAUACUAUAUGCUAUUUGCUCAAAAAAAUGAACUUGACAAAAUGAAAAAAAAAAUAGUAGAUCCGUAGUAGAACCACUAGUCUAUCUCUUUGGCAUGUAAUAAUUUUGAGAAAGAAAAUAUUGGUAUAGUUAUUGUUUUAUUUUUGUAUUCACAUGUACGUAUCGAUCCAAAGUUUUUAAUAUUAUUCUAUACUAAGAUUUUUUUUAUAAUCUUUUUACUUUUUUCUAUUUUUUAAUGAAUUUCAGAUAAUUUUGUUGAAAUAUAAUUUUGUAAGUUUUAUAAUU